RNAcentral lists this transfer RNA (92 nucleotides) under Methylobacterium cerastii. RNAcentral describes it as "tRNA-Ala". The record is from RNAcentral. Lineage: Bacteria; Pseudomonadati; Pseudomonadota; Alphaproteobacteria; Hyphomicrobiales; Methylobacteriaceae.
CGGCCUCCGGCCGGCGGGUGGCGGUGGUCUCGGGCGGCGACCCCGGCGUGUUCGCGAUGGCGGCGGCGGUGUUCGAGGCGGUGGAGGCCGGC